UACGUAGGGCGCAAGCGUUGUCCGGAAUUAUUGGGCGUAAAGAGCUCGUAGGCGGUCUGUCACGUCUGCCGUGAAAACCCGAGGCUUAACCUCGUGGCUUGCGGUGGAUACGGGCAGACUAGAGGUAGGUAGGGGAGAACGGAAUUCCCGGUGUAGCGGUGAAAUGCGCAGAUAUCGGGAGGAACACCGGUGGCGAAGGCGGUUCUCUGGGCCUUACCUGACGCUGGGGAGCGAAAGCAUGGGGAGCGAACAGG
RNAcentral lists this ribosomal RNA (254 nucleotides) under uncultured bacterium. Its description in RNAcentral is "partial 16S ribosomal RNA". It matches the Rfam family "Bacterial small subunit ribosomal RNA", at positions 524 to 776 of the family's 1533-position model. The record is from RNAcentral.